AAAAAAAAAAAAAAAGGAAAAUUAUUAUUUUUGACUACAUUUUUAAAUGACGUACACAACAUACAGAUCCCAGUCAGCCUCAAGCUCUCUUUUUCUUGCCUGCGUCCUCCCGAACAAUCCACGCAGUGUGUCGUGGGAAGAACGGGCGUGUUGUUCAGGUCAAACAGAGGAAAAAAGAGAGACAGAGAAAGCGAGAGAGAGAGAAAGAUGCUCCAGCUGUGAGUAAAAACAACAAAACUGCAUUUGAUUGGGAGGGGGUCGGAUGGACACAGGGUCAUUGUUUGUAAAGAGGUCGCGGAUAAAGAGACGAGAGAAACAGAUCACUCAGCUCAUGCAGUGAUAAAUGAUGGCGUUACACCUCAUUCAUUCACAAUCCCUCAACCAAUAACACAACCAAUGUGAUGCCGCAAUAUUUUUAAGACUGAAUCAUGAAAAACUGCAUGAAAAGAUACAAAUGUCAUGUAUUAUUAUUAUACUGUACAAAAUCAUUAUAUUACCAUAUAUACUUCAUAAAAAGUAACAAAAAUAAGUCAAAUAAAAUAAUAGCUGUAGUAUCGGAUGGUAUCAUGCUAGUUCAAUUUCAAAAUUCAAAUACCAUGUUAUUCUUAAAUGUAAAUGAUAAAUGAACUAAAUGGUGGUAAAACUAUUUUCAUUCAGAAUUUCUAGUAAAUUUCACAAAUAAUUGCAAAGAAAUAUGAAGUAACACUGAAUCGAACAUUAAAUUUUGAAGUAUAAAGGCUGGAAUAUUUUAUAUAUAGCUUAUUAUAGUGUAAAAUGUAAUCUUUGUUUUAUUUACAACUUAAAAAAAUUUUUCAAAGUGUACCAUGGUAUUUAUAAAAGUACCUAAAAUCACUCUAAAAAUUCACAGCUAUAAUUUGAACCUGUAAACGUCGCAAAAAAACAAAACAAAACAACAACAACUGCCAGUUAUAUGACAACAGUCAUGCUGUUAUGUUCAUGGCAACACUGGGUAAGUAAUAAUUAAUUAUUACAACUUUAACAGUGUAAUUAGAUUACUGUACUAAUUACUUUUUCUAAAAGGUAUUACUAAUUAUAGUCUAGUUUCUAAAUCUCAUAUCAGCCUCCACAAGGACAGACAUGAACUGCUCUUUUAAUUCUUUCAAAUACAUAGGCAAAUAUAAAAUAGCAUACAUGAUUGAUCAAAGUAUUUACAUUUAAACAUACAUUAGAUGUUGGAUAUGGAUGUAAAAUCCAUUAUUUGUUUAUAUUUAAUUGUUCUAACAUCUAUAGCCUAUUUACUGUAAUGCAGUUAGUACUUCAGAAGUAGGCUAACC
This is a long non-coding RNA of Cyprinus carpio carpio, 1295 nucleotides long. NCBI's taxonomy places the organism in Eukaryota, Metazoa, Chordata, Actinopteri, Cypriniformes, Cyprinidae. The record is from Ensembl.